Molecule: ribosomal RNA, 450 nt
Filed under: uncultured Macrococcus sp.
Lineage: Bacteria; Bacillati; Bacillota; Bacilli; Caryophanales; Staphylococcaceae
Description: bacterial SSU rRNA
Rfam family: Bacterial small subunit ribosomal RNA
Source: RNAcentral
GUAGGGAAUCUUCCGCAAUGGACGAAAGUCUGACGGAGCAACGCCGCGUGAGUGAAGAAGGUUUUCGGAUCGUAAAACUCUGUUGUAAGGGAAGAACAAGUACGUUAGUAACUGAACGUACCUUGACGGUACCUUACCAGAAAGCCACGGCUAACUACGUGCCAGCAGCCGCGGUAAUACGUAGGUGGCAAGCGUUAUCCGGAAUUAUUGGGCGUAAAGCGCGCGUAGGCGGUCUCUUAAGUCUGAUGUGAAAGCCCCCGGCUCAACCGGGGAGGGUCAUUGGAAACUGGGAGACUUGAGUACAGAAGAGGAGAGUGGAAUUCCAUGUGUAGCGGUGAAAUGCGCAGAGAUAUGGAGGAACACCAGUGGCGAAGGCGGCUCUCUGGUCUGUAACUGACGCUGAGGUGCGAAAGCGUGGGGAUCAAACAGGAUUAGAAACCCCAGUAGUCC